AAAAGCAAAUAGGGAAAAACUUGGGCUGGAAUGGAAACAUUAUUUUUCAUAAUACAAUCACAGAAAAGUGAUUGUUUGAAAAGCACUAUGACCUUUACAGCCUCGUUUCGUAGCAGAUCUCCCAUUAAGCCGAGUAUGUGACGGCGUGCUUUGAAUGUUUCUCUCUCCUCCAUGUUGAGCGUGCUGAAGGGCGUAUUAGCAAUACGCUUAUCCUAGAUGGUGGCAUAGGUGUAACCAUGAGCUGUGUUUUUGAAUGAGAUGUGUGUCCCAGGUUUGGUCAAAUCAUGUGCAGAGCUGUUCGACCUCCUUCUUCAGGACCGGGCUGCGUGUGGAUCUUGCCUGAUUUUCUCAUCGCCAUGGGAA
Syngnathus acus (greater pipefish) is the source of this 363-nucleotide long non-coding RNA. RefSeq lists it as uncharacterized. The record is from RefSeq and is a predicted model, not a curated record. NCBI's taxonomy places the organism in Eukaryota, Metazoa, Chordata, Actinopteri, Syngnathiformes, Syngnathidae. The transcript has 3 exons.